CGGUUGCUUACGUCCUCCAUCUGGUCAGAAGGGAAGUGCUGGCCCACUGCUCAGCAGCACCGUGCUCUGACACGAGGACACAGGGACACGGGGACAUAAGGACACGAGGACAUGAGGACACGGGGACAUGGGGACGAGAUGUGCUGCACAGCCUGAAAACAAGGAUGUGCUGGCAUGGAACCCACUGACCACCGCUGCUCAGACCGACUCAGACCCGUGUUCUGCAGCGGAAGCUGGGAUGUGUUUGAGGGACCUUUGCCGUUGCCACGCUGUUCCAUUUAUCAUUUUUUCAGGUGUCACUGCAGACACCUCCUGUGUCUUGGCAACUUACUGCACUGAAACACAUCAACCAGCACCUUGCCAGCAUUCAGCAACCACAGCGGGCCUGUGCUUCUCCAUGCAGGAAAUGAGAGGGGAACGCACUCUGCACCCAUUGCAAUGCUGUCUUCACUCUGCUAUCCAGGGAGCAGCGCCAGCCUCUAUUUUCAAGACCAAUUUCUCUAGGCGUCCCUGAGUCCUCCUCCAUCUAUUUUUAUUGACGCCUAUCAAGCUGGAAGGCAUUAGUCAUGUCAUUAGACUGGCACGUCCAGAAGCAGGAACAAAACAGCCAGAACAAUGAAAGUUCUCUCCCAAUAAAAAUGCCUGACCUGGAGAGUUUUCCAGUAAUAAUGCAAGAGCAAAAGCUUCCUGAGCAAUUCUGGCUUUGAAGUUGGCUCGUACAUCUUUUCAGCUGAUCUCUGCCAUGUGCAGUGAAAGCUGUCAGAGGUUCAGAGGCAGUUCCUGCCAACGUGCUUCUGAGCAGCGCGUGCAGCUCUUUGCCGCGCAGCAACGGGUGCUCCUUUGAAGGUGAAACCUCGUUAAAAUUAGAAGCAGCUCCAGCCACCGUCGUUCCUUUGUUUUGUUUUGUUUGUUUCAUCUGUGGAGAGCAGGGAAGGAAAGGAAGCCAGGCACGUGUGAGCUUUGGGAUGUUCCCACUCCUUCCCAUGAAAGCCCUAUCUGUGCAAAGCAGCAACAUUGCACAUUCAAAGGAGCGAUGGCCAAGGAGGCAGCAACAACAGUCGUUAAAAAAUCAAGCAUCACUGAAUGCCUUUGUCAAACAUCACCCGUUCCUCGUGCGCCCAGAAGCAGUGGGUUUCCUUGGAAACUACAGCAAUGCCAACAGGCAGCGGGACUGGUCCGUCAGGUGCAUGUUUGACCACUCCAGAUCUGCUGGUGUCCAGCUGGAUCCAUUAGAUAACCACAUUGCAACCCUAAGGGCUGUGCUGGCUUGUAGGGCUGUCAGGGCAUGCUGAGAGCUUCAGGAUGCCCCUCUGUUACAAGUUCAGCCCUCCAGCAACCCGAGCGAUGGGGCAGGGAGCUGGGCAGGUGAGCACAUCUCAUCUGAGGGCGCAGCUGCAACGCUGGGGUGGGAUGAAGGGUCAUGAGGGUUCCCCAAAUGUCCUCUGCAAAUGUCCUGUGCUGACAAGCCAGUCUGACACAUGGAGCUCAGGGUUUGUUUUCUGCUCUCUGACGCAGGUAAAGGUUUCGGGGGCUGCAUUUUAAUCCUGGGGGCUAAACCUGAAAGUGCUUAGGAGCUGCUGCAGUGACUUCUACAUUUUCCAUCCCAUCAGUAAUUUGGACUGCCUGAACCCCAGCUCCUUUGUAUGGCCUGGGAGCACAGAGGUGACCACACUUUGCAGUGACUCAGUGUGCUCAGGGAGGCAGCGAGCGCUGGGACCUGCUGCACAGACAGUCCCUCCCUCCCAGGCUUUUAGCCCCACAAACGAGGGCAACCAGAGAUAGUGCCCCAUGCCCAGCCCCACUGCAGCCCCAUGCAGAGCGGUGACACCAAGCUGGAUGUCUCCGAUUCCUACGCUUCAGCAUCUUUCUCUUGCAAAGACAGUGAUAACAAUAAUUCUAGCAUUACUACUGAUACUACUGCUGCCACUAUUACUCCACUCCCUUAACCCCUCUGUCACUUGUACCUCGUCCAGCUGCGUGCAAUGGGGAGCGGGGCUGUGUGCGGGGGGCUGGCAGGGCUGCACCCCCUGCGCCCAUCACACGCUGCACAAUGGGGAUCUCAUCCCGACUCUGGGCACAGCAGCAAAGCGAGUAAUAACAAUAACUUCUAGUCAGGGUUUUAAUGGUAAAGCAAGCCUCUCUCUCUCUGAAGAAUCCUUUAUAUGUUCCCUUGCUCUUUAUCUUUCACUUCCUUUAAACUAUGAUGGAAUUUAGGACUAAUGAAAAUGUGAGUCUGAGAGCAUUUACUGGAAGCCAGCUGCUCUUGCUUUUUCAUCUCUCUCUCUCCGGCCUGUCUUGUGAUCUGCCUUUUCUGUGUCCACCCAGCGAAAGCGAACACAUUUUUCUAGUGGAAGCUCGGUGCCUAAUCAGGGUUUGAGCAGGUUUGGGUCAUCCAUCUUCAUAUGGACAACAAGGUCAUAAAGUGGGCACUGCUUGCUUAUUUUCCUUCCCAAUAUCUUUUCUCAACAGUGAAUGGGAUCUUAAUAAAACAGAGCCUUUCUUUUUUUUUUUUAUUUUGGUCAUUUUUAGAGGGAGAAAUAAAGUACUGGUAGAAAAUAAAA
Molecule: long non-coding RNA, 2561 nt
Organism: Numida meleagris (helmeted guineafowl)
Lineage: Eukaryota; Metazoa; Chordata; Aves; Galliformes; Numididae
Exons: 2
Source: RefSeq, a predicted model, not a curated record